Molecule: ribosomal RNA, 271 nt
Filed under: Klebsiella pneumoniae
Lineage: Bacteria; Pseudomonadati; Pseudomonadota; Gammaproteobacteria; Enterobacterales; Enterobacteriaceae
Description: partial 23S ribosomal RNA
Rfam family: Bacterial large subunit ribosomal RNA
Source: RNAcentral
GGGCUAAACCAUGCACCGAAGCUGCGGCCGCGACACUAUGUGUUGGUGGGGAGGGGAGCGUUCUGUAAGCCUGCGAAGGUGGCCUGUGAGGGUUGCUGGAGGUCUCAGAAGUGCGAAUGCUGACAUAAGUCACGAUAAAGCGGGUGAACAGCCCGCUCGCCGGAAGACCCAGGGUUCCUGUCCACCGGUACUCGGGGCAGGGUGAGUCGACCCCUAAGGCGAGGCCGAACGGCGGCGUCGAUGGGAACCAGGUGCCUAUUCCUGUCCUUGG